RNAcentral lists this ribosomal RNA (1413 nucleotides) under Lactiplantibacillus plantarum. RNAcentral describes it as "bacterial SSU rRNA". It matches the Rfam family "Bacterial small subunit ribosomal RNA". The record is from RNAcentral. Lineage: Bacteria; Bacillati; Bacillota; Bacilli; Lactobacillales; Lactobacillaceae.
GUGCUUGCAUGCAUGAUUUACAUUUGAGUGAUUGGCGAACUGGUGAGUAACACGUGGGAAACCUGCCCAGAAGCGGGGGAUAACACCUGGAAACAGAUGCUAAUACCGCAUAACAACUUGGACCGCAUGGUCCGAGCUUGAAAGAUGGCUUCGGCUAUCACUUAUGGAUGGUCCCGCGGCGUAUUAGCUAGAUGGUGGGGUAACGGCUCACCAUGGCAAUGAUACGUAGCCGACCUGAGAGGGUAAUCGGCCACAUUGGGACUGAGACACGGCCCAAACUCCUACGGGAGGCAGCAGUAGGGAAUCUUCCACAAUGGACGAAAGUCUGAUGGAGCAACGCCGCGUGAGUGAAGAAGGGUUUCGGCUCGUAAAACUCUGUUGUUAAAGAAGAACAUAUCUGAGAGUAACUGUUCAGGUAUUGACGGUAUUUAACCAGAAAGCCACGGCUAACUACGUGCCAGCAGCCGCGGUAAUACGUAGGUGGCAAGCGUUGUCCGGAUUUAUUGGGCGUAAAGCGAGCGCAGGCGGUUUUUUAGUCUGAUGUGAAAGCCUUCGGCUCAACCGAAGAAGUGCAUCGGAAACUGGGAAACUUGAGUGCAGAAGAGGACAGUGGAACUCCAUGUGUAGCGGUGAAAUGCGUAGAUAUAUGGAAGAACACCAGUGGCGAAGGCGGCUGUCUGGUCUGUAACUGACGCUGAGGCUCGAAAGUAUGGGUAGCAAACAGGAUUAGAUACCCUGGUAGUCCAUACCGUAAACGAUGAAUGCUAAGUGUUGGAGGGUUUCCGCCCUUCAGUGCUGCAGCUAACGCAUUAAGCAUUCCGCCUGGGGAGUACGGCCGCAAGGCUGAAACUCAAAGGAAUUGACGGGGGCCCGCACAAGCGGUGGAGCAUGUGGUUUAAUUCGAAGCUACGCGAAGAACCUUACCAGGUCUUGACAUACUAUGCAAAUCUAAGAGAUUAGACGUUCCCUUCGGGGACAUGGAUACAGGUGGUGCAUGGUUGUCGUCAGCUCGUGUCGUGAGAUGUUGGGUUAAGUCCCGCAACGAGCGCAACCCUUAUUAUCAGUUGCCAGCAUUAAGUUGGGCACUCUGGUGAGACUGCCGGUGACAAACCGGAGGAAGGUGGGGAUGACGUCAAAUCAUCAUGCCCCUUAUGACCUGGGCUACACACGUGCUACAAUGGAUGGUACAACGAGUUGCGAACUCGCGAGAGUAAGCUAAUCUCUUAAAGCCAUUCUCAGUUCGGAUUGUAGGCUGCAACUCGCCUACAUGAAGUCGGAAUCGCUAGUAAUCGCGGAUCAGCAUGCCGCGGUGAAUACGUUCCCGGGCCUUGUACACACCGCCCGUCACACCAUGAGAGUUUGUAACACCCAAAGUACGGUGGGGUAACCUUUUAGGAACCAGCCGCCUAUAGG